This 110-nucleotide small nucleolar RNA is filed under the name Schistosoma mansoni. RNAcentral describes it as "Small nucleolar RNA U3". It matches the Rfam family "Small nucleolar RNA U3". Rfam says of the family: Small nucleolar RNAs (snoRNAs) are involved in the processing and modification of rRNA in the nucleolus. There are two main classes of snoRNAs: the box C/D class, and the box H/ACA class. Lineage: Eukaryota; Metazoa; Platyhelminthes; Trematoda; Strigeidida; Schistosomatidae. The record is from Rfam by way of RNAcentral.
UAGAUCGUACUUUUAGGGAUCAGUCCUAUAGUAUGUAUCACAAGGACGUCAAACAAAAUUAACCCUGGCCAACCAACCACGAUAAUCAAAAAAUUAUUGGUCAGAGGGGG